GGUAAAAUAAACCACUGCCGCAGCAUUUUGCCUUUUAGGAUAAUUUUAUGGCUCCUUAGGAGGUUUCAGCACUCACUUUAAAGGUGACAUUCUCUGCAAAAAUACUUUAAUCCCUAUAUGUCACCAAUGAUCUGUGAUUCCUUUGGUUAGAUUUUAAUUUAGAUUCUACAUAAGCAUUCGAAAUCCUCCUUGCUAAAAAUAAGAAGAAAAUAAUAGUACAGAUUAAAUCUUUAGUGGCUUCAUUGCUUUAUAGAGGAACUUAGCCACAUUUACGUUGCAUUGCGAAUGUGUGGCUGUUUUCUCAAAUACAAGGAAGUCAUGCUGAUGUUUCUUCAAGGUCGGUUUGAUCAAAUCACAUUAGGCAAAGGACUUUAAGCUGGUCUUCUAGCAGAAGAAGCCUGGAAAGACUGAUGUUUGCAAAGCCUAGGUCUACAGGCCUUGUAGCUAAGGUGACUCAGACAAACCCCAUUGCUUCUGGGCCUCAGAGGUUUUGUAUUUAAAAUGAAGAUCAGACCAUGGAUCUCACACAGUUGCCUAUGACUGCUCUUCUAUGAGAUUGAGAGGAGUUUGUGACCUGCCUUUCAUACUUUCUUGAAGAAAAAUUAAUCAUUUUAAGUAUUCUUUUCUAUCACAGUUUUCUUCCACUCAGAAAUAUCUUCAACCUGCAGAUCCAAAAAUAAGAUGAACAGUUAUUGAAACAUCCUUUGUUAGUCUUUAAAGGACGACCCUGACACGUCUGACACAUUAAAUCAGGAAUGGCACGGCAGCGUCUUUGAUAUCAGGCAUUGGCAAUAAUGAAUGAAUAAUGAAAAGAUCUGGUUUCCUAUUCUGACUCGGCUGUUGACUGUCUCUGGGGUUCUGGGCAAGUCAUUACCUUCUCUUUUACUUCAAGUCUCCUAUUUACAAGAUGAGGCUAGCACUCAUGCCCCUCUUACGGAAAGGAACAAAGCAAAUAUUUGGACAUAGAAACAAAAAUGUGCCUGCAAACUGUAAAAUGGGAAGCAAAGGCUACUACUAUUAUUUCAAUUGUUACAACCCAGUGUACAGAGAACAGAAACACAUGCGAUUCAAAUACAAGUCAGUGAGCUGAAAUGUCUUUCAUGCCUGUUACAGGCCGUUAGCAAAAGUUACAUUUUCUGUCAAUCUGACACAUCAUUAGAAUCAUUAUGUGUAAGUCCCGAUUCAAUGUUUUGUAAUGUUUUUAAAGACUAAAACUCACUAAAUUUAAUGUUUAGUAAUAGAGUAGGGGCUUUAUUCAUCUGUUCAUUCAUUGUGCUCCUUGACUGCACGUCUGAUCCAUGCUGACAACCUACUGGGCGUCAGCACUGUGUCAAGCUCAGUUCCGUUGGCUGACCAGGUAGACUCUACCCGUGGGCAAAGGACAAUGCAUAGAAACAGCAGCAGAAAGAAGAAGAGAAAGGAGAAAGGAAGAGGCAGCCAGCUGCCUGGCGCUCAGCAGCCGUUCAUGCACGAGUUCCCAGGCCAAAGGCAGCACUGGCCACAUCCACCUGUAUAAAGAGUCAGCUGACCUAUCACAGGCUCGCUGGCGUGGUGAUGAGACCGGGGCUUGUCCUUCCAGUGUAGCUUUCAGUCCGACUGCGGAGUGGAGGCACUGGCUCCCGGGCUUACUCUCCUGGGCUAUUGGGCAGCUUACUCAGCCUUCCUUUUCUUUAGUUUGGUGUUUUCAUUUGUAAAAUGAAGACACUGAUGCGUGCAUGACAGGGACUCUUCUGAUGCCUCCGUGUCGAUGGCCACCAAGCCCUGAGAACCCUGCCGGCACCCAGCACCCCAUGCCAGCCAGCACCGCUACGGCUGCCAUCCAUCAGGGCUGAACCCUGCCGGCACCCAGCACCCCAUGCCAGCCAGCACCGCUACGGCUGCCAUCCAUCGGGGCUGAAUCCUGCCGGCACCCAGCACCCCAUGCCAGCCAGCACCGCUACGGCUGCCAUCCAUCGGGGCUGAACCCUGCCGGCACCCAGCACCCCAUGCCAGCCAGCACUGCUACAGGCUGCCAUCCAUCGGGGCUGAACUCUGGCGUUUGAUCAUUCGGGGCUAGUUCCACUUCACAUACUCAUAAGGAAACAAGUGUUUCUCUUUCUGCUUUUUUGCCCCAUAUUUCAUUGCUGUAAAAGCCAGUGGCUAAGAUGAAGAUUGCAGCAUUUAAAAAUUCUUUAUUGAUUGGCUUUGCUUCCUCUACAAAAGCAGCUGCCAAAUUUAAUCUGAGAAACUGCUUUUAUAUUCAAGAAAUUCUAUGCACCUUAAAAAAAUAAUGGUAGAGGGGAUGAAACAUCCACUUAACUGAAAGAAGUUAGAAUCUGGGGAUUAGCCCAACCAAGGAAGCCACAGUCCUGUCUAAAUGUUUAUUUGUCAUUUUCCCAUAAAGAUUCAUGGGGCAUAUUGUCUUGAAAUUGCCACUGAAAUUGUUGACUGGGGAGAGGAGACAAAAGAGAUGGGCGAGGGAGUCCAGGGUGUGGAAUUUAUGAAACUUUGUCUUUUGUAGUUGUAGUUCUAGAAAGUCAAGGCCUUUUAAGUUAAUUGUAAAAACACAUUUGACAUUUUCAUAUUGAAGGCACUGGCCCUGAGCUGUUCUCUUCUGUGUCUGUCAUGUCGGCAUGCUGUGAAUUUGGCUGGUGAGAUGCCAGGGCCUCUGGGGACCUCCAUGACCUGCCAGCAUGCAGGUUACGGGUGAUUCCCGCGAUCGCGUGUUUGGAUUAAACCAGGUUCAGCGGGAGUCGCCUGGUCCAGACACACUGGACCCCGGUGACUUGGGUCCUGACACAGACUGGCCGAGCUGGGGGCGUCCCCAGAGACCAGAGACCCUGGGAAUGGCGAGCAUCGAGGCGCGGAGUUGCAUGGAAGACCCAGGGCCCGCUGUGCUGCUGACUGCUCCAGGACUCACAGGCGGCUGGACCUCCAUGGAGGUGACCCCCACAGUCUGCUCUCCUCAUGAUUCUGCCAAGUUUUAGUCCCAGGGCACUUAACAUAGGCUUUGGGACUCCCUUGCCGAGCCACACGUCCCCAGUGUGUGGGUGGGAGUCAGCAGGGGAGGAAGCCCCCGCCAUGAGCCCAAAGCCCCUCCAGGAACGUGCGGGACUUGGGUUCCAUGAACUCUUGAAGGAGCUUACCUUGAAAAUAAGUCACUGAAGAUGCUUCCUGUGCCUCUGGCAACAGAACCCAUCCAGCUCUCUGCUCUACAUGUUCCGAAACAACCCCUGUACUGGUCCAGCUGUGGCCGUCAGGGGCAUCCAGUCCUAGGAGUGCAUGGCCUACGUGUAGCACAAACAGGAGGGGUUGGUCCUGCCAGGCACCCGCUGCGGUGGCCAGGCCCAAGCACCCGAACCACGUGGUUUAGAAAGGUCUUUUUGCAAAGGUGCUUGCUGCUGAGCCCGUGAGGCUGCUGUGGUGUGCAAGUGUACAGAUGGUGCUGUCUGGUGAGCCCACCCGAGUAGGUCCUCGAGCUGGAUGACACAUUUGAAGAAUAGUCCUAAUCAAUAAGGUGCACAGUCGGACACUGGGCAGCCAACGCAGCUGACCGACUUGGAAUUUUUUCUGUAUCCACAAACACACAUUUGGCAAACCACUGAACACUGGUUAGGUGCCUGGAGUUUUGCUAGACACUGAAGAUAAAUACACAGAUGAGGCAAAACUGGCUUUUUUUUUUUUUUUUUUGCUAGGAGAGUUCAGAUAUUGUGUUGACAGCUGAGCAGGUCAUAUUUGUAGGAAUCCAAAUUUUUAUUAAAUGGUAUAAACCUCUGCUUAUUUGUUCUAAAUUUCUCCAUGAUGCACAUGGAAUCCAGUGCUGUCCAUGGUCCCUGGGGUCCUUACACUCUCAGAAACCGAGAAUAACACCUCUUUGCAAACCACAAGCCAAGAUUCUUUAUGUAAAUGUUAUUGGAGAGAAAGAAGGGACUUGGGCAUCUCACUAAGCCUCUCCAUGCCCUGCAAGAAAGUGUUUUUGCGAAGUCCCAGAAAUGGCGCUGAAUGAGGCUCUGUGCUAUGGGCGUGGCUGCUUUGCAGGUGGAGCAUGGAGACGUGGCCGCAGGGCUGAGGGUUUCGCAUUGGAGGAUUAAUAUGACCGUCAGCAGCUCAGCCGCUCUCUCUUUCUGGGUGGGUUUCAUCUUGGUAAAUGUGGAUUCUCAGACUGGCCCUGAGGAAAUCUCGUUCCGUUUUCCUGCAGAUUAUCUGAGUCUGCAGAGAUGGGGUCCUUGAGUGACCCAGGAGGCUGACAGGAGACACCAGGUGGAAGAGCCAUGUGGGAAGUAGCCUCACGUGCAGACAGCAAGCACUCCACCUGCCUGGCCCAUCUCCUGUGUAAGAGAGAGCCCUUAGCAUCCUGCCACACCCACCACUGGGUCACUGAGCUACCUCCCGGGAGUGUCAGCAUUUUGGGUUUUGGGUUUUUUUUUUGAGACAGUGUCUCACUCUGUUUCCCAGCCUGGAGGGCAGUGGUACAAUCUUGGCUCACUGCAGGCUCAACCUCCUGGGCUCAAGCAAUCCUCCCACUUCAAGUUCCCGAGUAGCUGGGACUACAGGCGUGCGCCACCACACCAGGCUAAUUUUUGUGUUUUAGUAGAGAUGGGGUGUCACUAUGUUGCCCUGGCUGAUCUCGAACUCCAGACUCAGGCAAUCUUCCAGCCUUUGUCUUCCAAAGUGCUGGGAUUACAGGCUUGAGCCACUGUGCCCGGCCGUCAUUGGCAUUUUGAGAAACAGAAAAUGCUCCGUGAACAUGAGUAACAUGCAUUAUCGUUCCUUCCUCCUCCCUUCAUCCUUCCUCCCCUCCCUCCUCCAUGGUAUCAUCAUCCUUCUUAUCACUGGGCUUUGAUGCAGGAAUGGGCGUGCCUGGUCUGCAUGUCACAUGCCUCUGGCCCUGGACUCUUGAUCUUGUGGAUCCAGAUGUACAACAUUCAGUACUCUGUGUUAUUCUUCCUAAAACUUGAGCUUUGCCAACAUUUCAAUGGUCACUUUGGCUCCGCCGUCCUUAUUGCUCCUGGAAGCUUAGGGACCCAGGGCCCUUCCAACCUACUCGGGCCUACUGUGUCCUCUUGUAUUUUGUGAACAAGCACAGUUUGGGGAUAUUUGGGUUUAAGCCCCAGAUCUUCCACAUUAGCUGUGUGACUUGAGCAGCUUUUGUAGAUUUUGGGGUGGUAGUGGAAUGAGGGCAACAAAGCCUUUUUGUAAGAAUAAAUGUGAGUUAAGUGCCAUCCAUCGGAAGCAGGCAAGGGCUUUAUAACCUCCCACACCGGCGCUUUGACUACAUCACGCACCGCACACGGGUGUUUCAGUCAAAGACAAACUGCAGGUGCAGCGGUGGCCCUGUAAGAUUAUCAUCAGCUGGAAGACUCCUACUGUCCAGUGACCUCAUAGCCGUCACAAUGCAUGACUCACGUGUGACUUACCCUGGUAGAGAAACCCCCUGUGCAGCCACCGUACGGAAGUGUAGCCGUAGAGGGAUGCGCAGUGCAUCUUGUGAUGGUGCUGACAGACGACCAUGUUGCUGGUUUAUGCAUCUGGGAUACUGUACGUUUCAUUAUUAUUUUAGAGUGCGCUCCUUCUGCUUGUGGAAAACCAUUAUCUGUAAAGAGCCCUGGGCCAGUCCUUCAGGAGGUGUCCGGAAGAAGGCACUGUGGUCGUAGGCGAUGGCAGCUCCACGUCUGUCACCGCCACUGCCCCUUAAGUCCUAACAGUGGGACAGGAAGUGAAGCUGGAAGAUGGUGAUAUCGACAGUCCUGACCCUGCGCAGGUAGAGGCUGAUGUGUUUUUGGGUCUUAGUGCUUAACAAGAGAGUUUAAAAAGUAAAUUUAAAAAUUAAAGAUUAAAAAUAGUAAAAGGGUUAUAGAAUAAGAAUAUAAAGAAAAAUAUUUGUACAGCUGUACAAUGCAUUUGUGUUUUAAGCUCAGCCUUACAAGAGAGUCAAACAGUUUUAAAAAUAAAAUAAAGUACAAGAGUUACAGUGUGUGUAUGAGUCUGGGUUCUCUAGAGGGACAGGACUAAUAGGAUAGGUGUAUAUAUGAAAGGGAGUUUAUUGAGGAGAAUUGACUCACAACCACAAGGUGAACUCCCACCACAAGCCGUCUGCAAGCUGAGGAACCAGGAAGCCAGUCCGAGGCCCAAAACCUCAAAAGCAGGGAAGCCGGCAGUGCAGCCUUCAGUCUGUGGCCAAAGGCCUGAGAGCCCCGGGCAAACCACUGGUGUGAGUCCAAGAGUCCAAAAGCUGAAGAACUUGGAGUCUGAUGUUCAAGGGCAGGAGGCAUCCAGCAUGGGAGAAACAUGGAGGCUGGAAGACUCAGCCAGUCCAGUCCUUCCACCUUCCUCUGCCUGCUUUUAUCCUAGCCGUGCUGGCAGCCGAAUAGAUGGUGCCCACCCAGACUGAGGGUGGGUCUGCCUCUCCCAGCCCACUGACUCCAGUGUUAAUCUCCUUUGGAAACACCCUCACAGACAACCCAGGACAAUACUUUGCAUCCUUCAAUCCAAUCAGGUUGACACUCCAUAUUAACCAUCACAGUAUGCUAAGGUUAACUUAUUAUUGAGGAAUGAAAAGUAUUUUUUGAAAAUUGAAUGUAGCCCAAGUUUGCAGUGUGUGUAGAGUCUACAGUAGCAUACAGUGAUGUCUCGGGCCGCGCAUUCACUCCCCACUCACCCAUUCACUCACCCACUUACCCAUUCACCCACCCACUCACCCGGUCACCCAGAGCAGCUUCGGGUUCUGCAAGUUCCAUUCAUGGUGAGUGUCCUCUGCAGACGUACCAUUUUUAACCUUUUGUACCAUAUUUUUACUGUAGCUUUUCUAUGUGGAGACAUGUUGAGAUACACAACUUCUUACCCCUGUGUUACAGUUUUCUACAGUCUUCAGUGCAGUCACACGCUGUGCAGGUGCAGCCUGGGAGCAGGAGGCCUAUGCCGUUCGGCCCAGGCGUGUAGGGGCGACGCCAUCCGGGUCUGCGUUCAGCCCAGGCGCGUAAGGGUGACGCCAUCCGGGUCUGCGUUCAGCCCAGGCGCGUAGGGGUGACGCCAUCCGGGUCUCCGUUCAGCCCAGGCGCGUAAGGGUGACGCCAUCCGGGUCUGCGUUCAGCGCAGGCGCGUAAGGGUGACGCCAUCCGGGUCUGCGUUCAGCCCAGGCGCGUAAGGGUGACGCCAUCCGGGUCUGCGUUCAGCCCAGGCGCGUAAGGGUGACGCCAUCCGGGUCUCCGUUCAGCCCAGGCAUGCAGGCGCGAAGCCAUGCGGACAAAUAGAACGUUGCAGGCAGAAGGACGGAGUGCGCAGAGAGACAGGGUCUCGAAACUGAAACGGCAACGUGAGCAGUAUGUCUCCUGCUCACCUUCUUCCCGCCAUCCCCUAGGCUGCUUUGGAUGAGCCACAUGUGCCCACCCUCUCCCCACCAUCCCCCAGACUGCUUCCGAUGAGCCACGUGUGCACACAGGGCCUGGCAUUUGAGGGCAGAGAUGUUGCAUAGUGAGGUGCUUGCUCUGGAGGCCUCUUGUGUGAAGAGACAUGAGACUGUUGAUGGGCUGAAUGUCCUCAUCCCUAGACAAUGACAGUGAACGGAGUUUUUAUUAAGGUCACAGUAUAUUUUGAUAUUUGAGCACCUAUGAUGUGCAAGUCACCAGAGCCACACUCUAGUAAGUGAUAGAGUGAGGAUGUAAAGAUACAGAUGUGGUUUAAAGACUCUUCUCAACCUCUGAGCUCAGCUACCUCUCAGGUCCCAUUAUUCUAGAAAGCAGAAAUGUGAGAUUUUACUCCUCUUCAUUUUAAGAAGAAAAAAAGGAAGUCUGUUAAAGUAAGGGGAGAAAAGACCCUGAUACAACUUCCACCAAAUAUAAAACAGACAUAGCCCUAAAUUGUGGUAUAAAUCGGGUAUCUAUUUUGAGUUCAAGUUCUCCUUUAGCAUACUUUUAAAUUCAGGGUGUUACAGUUUAUUGAAUUUAACAUUAAAAUGGACUCACGUGGGAAAUGGAGUCAAUAUUUUAUACAUUGAAUUUUGCGUUACGUUUCAAAAGUGAAUGUAAAUAUACAGGUGUAAAACCAGCUGGAUGGCACACAGGCACUCCGCUGCGAGUGCACGGCCCACCCUGCCCGAAUGCAGAGAAACACUAGAAGCUCUUGAGCCAGCAGAGAGAAAACCCAGAGAGUCUGAGUGGAAUCUGUUAGCCGUGCAAAUGUUACACAAUGCACAUUUGCUAUGACACAAAUCUAAGACUAAAGGGGGAAAACGGCAGAAAUUUUAGAAGACUCAUGGGCUCUCCUGAAUAAAAAUCCUGCUGAACUAGUGACCGGCUGAGCGUGGAUUGUCGGGUGAGCCGCCCUCUGGGUCCUGAAGGGCCCUUGGUGUCUCUUUACAGAGAAGCAACCCCGACAUUGGUGGAGGCAAGCGCUCGUGGCAGAUGAACCUGCAGAUGAGGCUGGGCACUGCCCAGCUUAUGAGGACAAAUGGCUCUUUUUAUAUUCCAGCAACCACGGAACUCUCUGGAGUGCCCAGGGCUGUUUUAGGACAUCCUAAACUGCUACUUUCAUGCCAAGUUUGGAGGACUGUCUUCUGAAAUAUCUUUUAUAAAAACAAAUUUAAUGCAAAAGCACGUAAGUCUACAUGAAACCCUCCCAGCACGGGUUUUCCAGCCAAAUGGUAGGGGCAUACAUAGAAAAAUGAAACAUUUGUGGUUGUGUUUUCAAGGCAGAAAAGAUGCUGAAGGGAAAAGUCUAUGUUCGAAACAUAAUCCCAGAAUAAAAAGCUCCAAGAAAUGCAGUUUUGAGGAAGUAUUAUCUAAACAAAGAGAUGUAUUAAUAUAAUUGAUGUGCAAUAUUUAUUCAGUGUUAAUCUUUUCAUUAAAAUGCAUCCUGAGUUUUCAUAAAUUCUGGCAGAUUUAAUUAUGUAUAUACUGCUUAUCGUUGUAUUUUAAAAUUGCAUAAAAUUACGUUACUUAUGUCUGUGCUUCUUAAAUAAUAGAAAUGUCUUCACGCCCCUA
This is a long non-coding RNA of Homo sapiens (human), 8957 nucleotides long. RefSeq lists it as uncharacterized. The record is from RefSeq and is a predicted model, not a curated record. NCBI's taxonomy places the organism in Eukaryota, Metazoa, Chordata, Mammalia, Primates, Hominidae. The transcript is spliced from 2 exons.